RNAcentral lists this transfer RNA (85 nucleotides) under Malassezia brasiliensis. Its description in RNAcentral is "tRNA-Gln". It matches the Rfam family "tRNA". Rfam says of the family: Transfer RNA (tRNA) molecules are approximately 80 nucleotides in length. Their secondary structure includes four short double-helical elements and three loops (D, anti-codon, and T loops). Further hydrogen bonds mediate the characteristic L-shaped molecular structure. tRNAs have two regions of fundamental functional importance: the anti-codon, which is responsible for specific mRNA codon recognition, and the 3' end, to which the tRNAs corresponding amino acid is attached (by aminoacyl-tRNA synthetases). tRNAs cope with the degeneracy of the genetic code in two manners: having more than one tRNA (with a specific anti-codon) for a particular amino acid; and 'wobble' base-pairing, i.e. permitting non-standard base-pairing at the 3rd anti-codon position. Lineage: Eukaryota; Fungi; Basidiomycota; Malasseziomycetes; Malasseziales; Malasseziaceae. The record is from RNAcentral.
GGUCCGUUCGUAUAGUGGUUAGUAUAGUGGAUUUUGAUGAUGACGCAAAAUUCCAUUGACCCCGGUUCGAACCCGGGACGGACCU